Molecule: ribosomal RNA, 495 nt
Filed under: uncultured Spirochaeta sp.
Lineage: Bacteria; Pseudomonadati; Spirochaetota; Spirochaetia; Spirochaetales; Spirochaetaceae
Description: bacterial SSU rRNA
Rfam family: Bacterial small subunit ribosomal RNA
Source: RNAcentral
GCCCGCUCAGAAACUCAAAGGAAUUGACGGGGGCCCGCGACAAGCGGUGGAGCAUGUGGUUUAAUUCGAUGGUACGCGAGGAACCUUACCAGGGCUUGACAUACGUUGGAAGCGCAUCGAAAGGUGCGUGCCGCUUGCGGCCGGCGUACAGGUGCUGCAUGGCUGUCGUCAGCUCGUGCUGUGAAGUGUUGGGUUAAGUCCCGCAACGAGCGCAACCCCUGCUGCCUGUUGCCACCACGAGAGGUGGGGACUCAGGCGGGACCGCCGGUGACAAACCGGAGGAGGGUGGGGACGACGUCAAGUCAUCAUGGCCCUUAUGUCCUGGGCUACACACGUGCUACAAUGGCCGGUACAGAGCGCAGCGAGGCCGCGAGGCGGAGCGAAUCGCUUAAAGCCGGUCCCAGUACGGAUUGGAGUCUGCAACCCGACUCCAUGAAGUUGGAAUCGCUAGUAAUCGCGCAUCAGCAUGGCGCGGUGAAUACGUUCCCGGGCCUU